CUUUCUAUUAUUAUCAGCUAAAAUCAAGGUCCCAUAUUUUAUUGACUGUCAACUAUCUAAUGUGCUUUAUCUCUAGUCUCAGCUGGGCCCUCCCUGACCUGAGCUGUUCCAGGAGAAAUGGGCAACUCUGAACGCUGGUGAAAAUUGGAACAUCAAUGUGUCCUCGAAGCAAAUCUGUGAAGUGUCCUGGGAGAACUGCAAAAUUGAGAAUCCUUUCCGUGAGG
Molecule: long non-coding RNA, 224 nt
Filed under: Homo sapiens (human)
Lineage: Eukaryota; Metazoa; Chordata; Mammalia; Primates; Hominidae
Description: HSALNT0070058
Source: RNAcentral